This 426-nucleotide ribosomal RNA is filed under the name uncultured bacterium. RNAcentral's name for it is "bacterial SSU rRNA". It matches the Rfam family "Bacterial small subunit ribosomal RNA", at positions 359 to 776 of the family's 1533-position model. The record is from RNAcentral.
GAAUCUUCCGCAAUGGACGAAAGUCUGACGGAGCAACGCCGCGUGAGCGAUGAAGGCCUUCGGGUCGUAAAGCUCUGUUGUUAGGGAAGAACAAGUAUCGUUCGAAUAGGGCGGUACCUUGACGGUACCUAACCAGAAAGCCACGGCUAACUACGUGCCAGCCGCCGCGGUAAUACGUAGGUGGCAAGCGUUGUCCGGAAUUAUUGGGCGUAAAGCGCGCGCAGGCGGUCCUUUAAGUCUGAUGUGAAAGCCCACGGCUCAACCGUGGAGGGUCAUUGGAAACUGGGGGACUUGAGUUCAGAAGAGGAAAGUGGAAUUCCACGUGUAGCGGUGAAAUGCGUAGAGAUGUGGAGGAACACCAGUGGCGAAGGCGACUUUCUGGUCUGUAACUGACGCUGAGGCGCGAAAGCGUGGGGAGCAAACAGG